UACGGGGGGUGCGAGCGUUAAUCGGAAUUACUGGGCGUAAAGGGUUCGUAGGUGGUAUGUUAAGUCAGAUGUGAAAGCCCAGGGCUCAACCUUGGAACUGCAUUUGAUACUGGCAAACUAGAGUAUGGUAGAGGAAUGGGGAAUUUCCGGUGUAGCGGUGAAAUGCGUAGAGAUCGGAAGGAACACCAAUGGCGAAGGCAACAUUCUGGACCAUAUCACACUGAGGACGAAAGCGUGGGGAUCAAACAGG
This 250-nucleotide ribosomal RNA is filed under the name uncultured bacterium. RNAcentral describes it as "partial 16S ribosomal RNA". It matches the Rfam family "Bacterial small subunit ribosomal RNA", at positions 524 to 776 of the family's 1533-position model. The record is from RNAcentral.